Molecule: small nuclear RNA, 108 nt
Organism: Otolemur garnettii (small-eared galago)
Lineage: Eukaryota; Metazoa; Chordata; Mammalia; Primates; Galagidae
Source: Ensembl
GUGCUUGCUGUGGCAGCAUAUAUAUUAAAACUGGAGCAAUACAGAGAAGAUUAGGAUGGGCCCUGUGCAAGAAUGACAUACAAAAUUUGUGAAGCAGUCUAUAUUUUU